GAACGUCGUGAGACAGUUC
This 19-nucleotide ribosomal RNA is filed under the name Escherichia coli. Its description in RNAcentral is "23S ribosomal RNA from Escherichia coli (PDB 3J0D, chain E)". Lineage: Bacteria; Pseudomonadati; Pseudomonadota; Gammaproteobacteria; Enterobacterales; Enterobacteriaceae. The record is from RNAcentral.